Molecule: non-coding RNA, 192 nt
Filed under: Anaerotruncus sp.
Lineage: Bacteria; Bacillati; Bacillota; Clostridia; Eubacteriales; Oscillospiraceae
Also listed under: 3 other names
Description: 6S RNA
Rfam family: 6S / SsrS RNA
About the family: E. coli 6S RNA was the first non coding RNA to be sequenced, but its function was unknown until recently. It consists of 184 nucleotides that fold into an extended hairpin structure with a large single-stranded internal bulge.
Source: RNAcentral
AGAUUCCUGCUGUAUGCGACAGCCCUGCCUAAAAUACUCCGAUAACUGUAUCUAGGGAGUUUCGAUUCGGCGUAGGAUUGCAGACCUCCCCCCCUUGGGGAAGAAGGGAGCAUGAGGCCGCUGAGAGAGCGUACCCACUCUGUCAUACGACGGGGUUUACAGCCGGCAGGGCAUCGGUACAGCGGGGAUUUU